Molecule: long non-coding RNA, 408 nt
Filed under: Rhipicephalus microplus (southern cattle tick)
Lineage: Eukaryota; Metazoa; Arthropoda; Arachnida; Ixodida; Ixodidae
Description: uncharacterized LOC119163868
Source: RNAcentral
AGAAGCAGAAAAGUAUUUAAAAGGCCACGAGCCAGCGUAUCUGCUGAACUACUCAACUACACCUGCAGCUACAGCAAAAGUCGGCUACAGCAAAGCAAUUCCGCUGUCUGGUUCGAAGAUACACCUGUCUGCGAUAAUGAAGAUCUUCACAACCUUCACUUUGCUGGCCAUUCUCAGCGUGCUUGCAGUUCUACAUUUCGCAAGUGCAGAGGAAGGACUGGACCAGCACCAUCGAGUCUCCCGUGAUGCCGGUUGCCCUGACUUGAAAGCCUGCACGAAAAAGUGCCAAAGUGAAGGUCAUCGCACGGGCACUUGCAAGGGAAUACGUAGGACUCGCUGCCUUUGCGCAAAUUAGGUUUGCCUUUUUUGAACAUGAAAAUAAAAAAAAUUUCGGUUCUUGUGGGCGCA